RNAcentral lists this ribosomal RNA (894 nucleotides) under uncultured bacterium. RNAcentral's name for it is "bacterial SSU rRNA". It matches the Rfam family "Bacterial small subunit ribosomal RNA", at positions 29 to 921 of the family's 1533-position model. The record is from RNAcentral.
AUGAACGCUGGCGGCGUGCCUAAUACAUGCAAGUCGAACGAAUCUCUUUUAGAGAUGAGUGGCGAACGGGUGAGUAAUACAUAGGUAACCUGCCCCUGUGCGGGGGAUAACAGGAGGAAACUCCUGCUAAUACCGCAUAGCCAUGAGCACCGCAUGGAGCUCAUGCCAAAUAUCCUUUCGGGGAUAGCGCAGGGAUGGACCUAUGGCGCAUUAGCUGGUUGGCGGGGCAACGGCCCACCAAGGCAACGAUGCGUAGCCGGCCUGAGAGGGCGGACGGCCACAUUGGGACUGAGACACGGCCCAGACUCCUACGGGAGGCAGCAGUAGGGAAUUUUCGGCAAUGGGGGAAACCCUGACCGAGCAACGCCGCGUGAGCGAAGAAGGCCUUCGGGUCGUAAAGCUCUGUUGUAAAGGAAGAACGGCGCAUACAGGAAAUGGUAUGCGAGUGACGGUACUUUACCAGAAAGCCACGGCUAACUACGUGCCAGCAGCCGCGGUAAUACGUAGGUGGCGAGCGUUAUCCGGAAUCAUUGGGCGUAAAGAGGGAGCAGGCGGCCGCAAGGGUCUGUGGUGAAAGACCGAAGCUAAACUUCGGUAAGCCAUGGAAACCGGGCGGCUAGAGUGCGGAAGAGGAUCGUGGAAUUCCAUGUGUAGCGGUGAAAUGCGUAGAUAUAUGGAGGAACACCAGUGGCGAAGGCGACGGUCUGGGCCGCAACUGACGCUCAUUCCCGAAAGCGUGGGGAGCAAAUAGGAUUAGAUACCCUAGUAGUCCACGCCGUAAACGAUGGUCACUAAGUGUCGGGGGUCAAACCCCGGUGCUGCAGUCAACGCAAUAAGUGACCCGCCUGAGUAGUACGUUCGCAAGAAUGAAACUCAAAGGAAUUGACGGAAGGG